Daucus carota subsp. sativus is the source of this 10776-nucleotide long non-coding RNA. RefSeq lists it as uncharacterized. NCBI's taxonomy places the organism in Eukaryota, Viridiplantae, Streptophyta, Magnoliopsida, Apiales, Apiaceae. The transcript is spliced from 12 exons. The record is from RefSeq and is a predicted model, not a curated record.
CAUACUUUACAAAUAUCAGUGAGUUUCAUCAUUGUACACCUCUUCGCAAAUUCAUUUUUAUUAGCAAAUUUAUUUCAUUUAUCUGUAAAUCUAUCAUCAAGCUUCAAACUCAUCAAUGGUGGCAACAUAUUCAGCAGUAGUUACAUUCUUCUACCUAUGGACUAUAAUCCAAAGAUAUCAGACUUUGGCUUGGCGAAAUCGGGUCCCUCGGGUGGAGAUUCACAUGUUACUGGUCUGGGGAAUUUUGUGUUGGAAUUUGUUGAUAUCCUUUUCGGGAAAAGAGAACUAGAGGAAAAAAGAGCAAGAAAAUGCAUGUGAAAAAACGUGGCAGACCCAACCCGCGCCUGACCAAAGAGGUUGCAGAGGAGCGCAAGGCGGUGAAGUGAUUGCGGAAUGCUGCUCGUCAGGACCCACGACAACUCAAAUCGGUAUCCAGAGCAGGGGAGUUUAACUUGUCACAAAUUUAAAAGGAUUAAAAGCAGUAUGGUCAAUUGUUCGAAUUGCAAAUGGAGAUGCUUCUGCAAUGAGUGUUUCAGGCAGUUUAAAUUUGAUAGUGCUGACAGCAGUCUUGAGUUGGGCCUGAGGUUUUUACGAUAACACAAGCUGCAAUAUUGCUCCAACAUCUUCUAUGUAUGCGGCGGCGGCUGAUAGUAAAGAGGGGGAUUUUGGGAAUUCCCCUGGUGGUGGUUUAUUUUAUGGUGAUCCAGCCUGGCGAUCAUCAUCGCCAGAGCUUGAUGGUUCUGGCCUGUUUGCUAACGAACUCUGCAAUGCUGUUUCUGAUGUUACCCCUAGAGAUGCUGUUCAUUAUGCUGAAGGAUGUAGUGUUAAUAAUAUGUCAACAAGAGAAGUUUGAUGAAAGCCUACAGCAGACCACGAGGGUAACCCUGCAGUCGAUAGUCUGAUUUAUCACUGAAGAAAUUAAAAGAAUUUAUUGCUCAACUUCAACAACUGCAAAAAGGAAAGAGUGAGAGGUUGAAAAAAGUCCUUGAGUCUGUGACCACAGUUCAUGAUCUUUGUGCUGUCCGCGAAAUAGACUUUUUUAGUGUUAUGACUGAAGUCCAUCCAAGCCUUAUGAUUCUACUGGUGUGCAAUCUAAAAGCAUUAGCAAUGACAUUUUAUCUCGGCAAGAAGUCUUGGCCCUGCAAGAGGAUAGGUAACAAAGUUUGCAUAAGGUAACAAAUAUUUAUACACAACUAUAUUAGCUGCAAUCUUUUUUCAAUGUAAAUUUAUUACUUCAUGAAUUACAAUCAUUUUUAUUAGUGCCCGUGAUGUUUUUUAAUGUUUUUUUUCUUUUUUGGUCCGCGUAUGUUUUUGUCUCAUCUCUUUCUAUGUGAUCAUGAAUAAGUUUAGACGAAAACUUUGGUUGUAUUUAUAGAGUUAAAAUAGAAUUAAUCUUAUAAAAUGUAGAUUUAAAGCUAGAAUUUAGUAAAAGAAAAUUACAGACGUCCAUAAAAUGACUGCCAAAUAUUUUGCACUUUUGGCAUGAAUAAUAUAAAAAGACUAAAUCGGCAGGUUGUACCUUAGAUCUAAUAGUGCUUUUCCAAACUUGAUUGAUUCAUUAAUUCUUUAUCAAGCUCACGAAGCUGGGGGGUUAAUUAAAGCACACAUGUUCUUAUAGUUGAACUCCUUAUUGACUUUGCACUCAGCGCCUUUAGGCUUAACUGAGUACGACACAAAUGAUAUAUUAAAUCAUGAAGUUCCUGACAUGAUUGUCAUAAUUGGUUUGUUAAUAUAUUUUUUUUGAUUUUAAAUACACUUCAUAUACAAUCUUCUUUUAAAACUAUAUAGUCAAUUUUCAGCCCGGUGGUGGGCAGAGAUAAUAAACAUCCAAUUAUUCUUUUCUCUAUUAAAAUUCUUGUAUUGAUAAAUUAUUAUAAGGUUUGAAUAUGUAACUCCCAUUGCAAGUGAGUGCAAAGAUGUGGAAAAUAAUAAAUGACUUGUAAAAAUGUAUGCUAAGUGCUAACGAUCUUGUCAGAGCCGAGGUACUUUUUGACACCGGAAGCAAUGGAAACAAGUAGAUCAGGGUUUAAUACUCGCCACUCUAAAGAAUCCACCCUAGAGAUAAGAGCAAACUCGCCACCCAAAGGAACCCAACCCCAGGGAUAAGAGUAUAAAGAUCAAUAUUCUUUUAACAAAAGAAAUAUUUAAUUUUUGUAUUUUCAAUUUCAGCUUAUAGGUACAUAGUUGUGAUAGUCUUUAUAUAGACUUGGCCAGAAACAUCCCUUCUGCCAUAGGUAGGUGCAAUGAACAUGAGAUUAAUGCUAAUCUUUUGAUAUUCUUUGACUUGGACUACUAAAAGAUAUAACUGAUAUCAUUCCUAGGGACUUGCUAAUACAUGAACUAGCCUAGUAAAUGAUAUGAAUACCAGAAAAUAAUCUCAAUGCAAAUACUUUAACUCAGAAUGUACCCUGCUGGACAGCUUGACCACCUCUGACUAAAAAUGAGAUAACUUCUUGUAGAAAAUGUAUUUCUUUGAUCCGUAAAAUUUGUUGAAAACUAGACUCCAAUACCUUUCCAAUGAUAUAUCACACUGCACCCAGAACGUCCUAGAUAAAAUCAGUUUAUUCUUCGAAGUUGACUCAAAAUAUCCUCAGAAUUCUGAAUUUUCUGCGUCAUUCUCCCCGGGUUGAAAAGGACUCGUCCUCGAGUCUUUAUUGCCGUCAUUAUCUAUGUAAGGUGAGAGAUCGGACACAUUAAAUGUAGCAGACACACCAUAGUUACCAGGCAGUUCAAUCUUGUAAGCAUUUUCACCAAUUCUUUGAAGUACUUUAAAUGGGCCAUCAGCUCUAGGACUUAACUUUCCGGAUCUUCCUCUAGGGAAGCGUUCUUUACGCAGAUGAAUCCAUACCAGAUCACCCUCUUUGAAGACAGCUGGUUUUCUGUACUUGUCUGCUUGCUUCUUAUACUUCUCAUUUUGCUUCGCUAUUUUUAAUCUGACAUGCUCAUGUAGCUUCUUGAUGUGAUCAGCUCUAUCAGCUGCAUCUCCACUGAAAUGACUAGUAGCUGGUAGCAGAGCUAGGUCCAAUGGACUAGAAGGAUUCUGACCAUAAACAACCUCAAAAGGACUUUUUCCCGUUGUCUGGCUUAUUGACCGAUUGUAUGCAAACUCGGAUUGGGCUAACGUCAGAUCCCAUUGGCGUGGAUUGUUACCAACUAAACUCCUCAAUAGAUUUCCGAGACUCCUAUUAACAACUUCAGUUUGUCCAUCCGUUUGUGGAUGAUUGGACGAACUAAAUUGCAGAUGAGUUCCCAGCUUCUUCCAUAAUGUACGCCAAAAGUGACCCGUAAACUUUGUGUCACGAUCUAAAGUUAUUGUCUUUGGAACACCAUGGAGUUUCACAAUCUCUCUGAAAUAUAAGUCAGCCACAUGAGAAGCAUCUAAUGUUUUAGAACAUGGCACAAAGUGAGCCAUUUUUGAAAAUCGAUCAACUACUACCAUUAUAGAAUCUUUGCUUCGUUGAGUUCUUGGUAACCCAACCACAAAAUCUAAACUCACAUCUUCCCAAGGUGCAAGAGGAACCGGAAGUGGGGUGUAUAAUCCUGUAUUUUGUGAACGACUCUUUGCAAUGCGGCAAACUCGACAUCCUUCUACAUGGCGUUUUACAUCACGUUCCAUCCUUGGCCAAUAAAAAUUUUCUUGGACAAGAGCAAGGGUUUUGUCUCUGCCAAAAUGCCCAGCAAGUCCUCCUUCAUGAGCUUCAAAGAUUAUAGCUUUCCUCAAAGAACAAGCGGGAAUGCAAAGACGAUUAUUUUUGAAAAGAAAACCAUCUUGAAUAACAAAGUCACGAAUUGGCCUAUUGGAAGAAUGUUCCCAAAUCUGACCAAAACAAGGAUCAUCUUUGUACAGCUCCAUUAGAAUAUCAAAUCCCAGCACCUUUACUUGCAUAGUGGACAUCAAUGAUCUUCUUCGACUUAAAGCAUCAGCUACUUUGUUCAGAGCACCAGAUUUAUGCUUGAUAGAAAAGGUAAAUGAUUGAAGAAAUUCCACCCAUUUGGCAUGUCGAGCACUUAACUUCUGCUGAGAGUUGAUAUACUUCAGCGCCUCAUGAUCAGAGAAGAGAAUGAACUCCUUAUGUAAAAGAUAAUGUUGCCAAUGGUCCAAUGCUCGAACAAUAGCAUAGAACUCUUUAUCAUAAGUUGAAUAAUUUUUACGACCAUCGUUCAAUUUUUCACUGAAGUAGGCAAUAGGUUGUCCUUCUUGGCUAAUAACAGCACCAAUUCCCACAUUUGAGGCAUCACAAUCAACUUCAAAUACUUUAUUAAAAUCUGGUAGUGCGAGAAUAGGAGCUUCAGAUACCUUUUUCUUUAGGAGUUCAAAGCUCUUUUGUCCUUCUUCUGUCCAAUGAAAGCUCCCACCUUUCAAACAUUCAGUGAUAGGUGCAAUAAUAGAGCUGAAAUUCCUUAUGAAUCGCCGAUAAAAAGAUGCUAGGCCAUGAAAGCUCCGGAUGUCAUGAAGAGAGGCUGGUGUAGGCCAGCAAGUUAUUGCUUCAACUUUAUUGUUAUCCAUCUUUAAUCCAUCAGCUGAGACGACGAAUCCAAGGAACACAAGGCUUUCUGCAAGGAAGUGGCACUUCUUCAGAUUUGCAUAUAAUUUUUGCUCUCUUAGCACCUGAAAAAUGGCACGGAGAUGUUCCAAAUGUUGUUUUUCAUCACGACUAUAGAUCAGAAUGUCGUCAAAAUAAACUACCACAAAUUUUCCGAUGAAUGGUUUAAAUAUGUCAUUCAUGAGUCUCAUGAAUGUUGAAGGAGCAUUAGACAUUCCAAAAGGCAUAACCAUCCAUUCAUACAACCCAUCUCUUGUCUUGAAAGCCGUCUUCCAUUCAUCUCCGGGCCUUAUACGAAUUUGGUGAUAACCGCUGCGUAGAUCGAUUUUGCUGUGCACUUUAGAGCCUGAAAGUUGGUCAAUCAGGUCAUCAAAACGCGGAAUAGGAAAACGGUAUUUGAUAAUAAUUUUAUUGACUGCUCUACUAUCAACACACAUCCGCCAUGAACCGUCUUUCUUGGGUACAAGGAGUGCAGGGACUGCACAAGGACUCUUACUUUCUUUAACCAUUCCUUUAUUCAAGAGAUCAUCAACUUGCCUCUGUAAUUCUUCAUGUUGUUGUGGACUCAUUCUAUAGGCUGCUUUGUUAGGCAAUGAGGCUCCCGGAACCAGAUCAAUGCAAUGUUGUAUAUCUCUCAUUGGAGGCAGCCCAGGUGGUAUUUCUUCAGGAACUACAUCUGAAAAUUCAAGAAGUAGAGGCUGCACUGGUGCUGGAAUAUCAUAUACCUCUUCAUUUUCUUUAAAGACAACCAAGGCAUAAGUUUCCUCGGACUCAUGAACAGCCCUGCAAAUUUCUGCUCUUGACAGUAGAUUGUUUCCUUCCCCUUUACAAGGUUUAGGAAUGUUGUUCAUUUUUGAAGGGCCCAAAAUAACCUUAACACCAUCUUUAACAAAAGUAUAGGUAUUUUUAUAACCAUCAUGGUGAGUCCUUCUAUCAUACUGCCAAGGUCUACCAAGAAGUAAAUGACAUGCAUCCAUAGGAACAACAUCACAUAAUACUUCAUCUUUAUACUUACUACCAAUAGAGAAUUGCACCAAACAUUGUUUAUCAACUUUUACCUCAUUGCCUUUGCGAAACCAUGAUAGCUUAUAAGGACGUGGAUGCUUCUCCGUCUUCAAAUUUAAUUUUUGAACCAUGUCGUUGGACACCACAUUCUCACAGCUUCCUCCAUCUAUGAUGACAUUGCACACCUUUCCUUGUGAAGUGCAUUUUGUAUGGAAUAUGUUACUACGAAGCCAAGAAUCUUCUUGAGCUUGCAUACUAUUCAAACUCCUUCGAAUCACCAAAGAUUCUCCCUGAUCUUCAUAAGUAAUCUCCUCAUCCUCUUGGCCACUUCCUUCAGCUUCCCAUGGAGUCUGUUCUUCAAUUUCUUCCUCAAAAAUGGUUAUGACUUUAAGGUUUGGACAUUCAGAGGCUAUGUGUCCAUAACCUUGGCAUUUAAAACACUUUAUUGAAGCUUUGGUGCCACUUCCCCGACUAGUAUUGGCUGUGCUAUCAUUCUUUUUGGAUGAUUUCAGAUCUGACCCCUUAUCAGUAGGAGGAGAUUUUCUUACGACACUUGAAUGGGUUGUACCAGAAGCUUGAUUUGAGAACCGAUUAUUGCGUCCCUUUGGCUUUUGUUGUUUCUCCACCUUAAGAGCAAGUUUACAUACAUCUUGAUAAGUCCAGAAAGGUUGCAGAUUAACGACAUCACUGAUUUCCUCCUUUAGUCCACCAAGAAAUCGAGCAAUGGUUUGCUCCUCUGGUUCUACCACCUCGCAGCGCAUCAUGAGAUUCUCAAAUUCUGUCAUAUCAUCUUCCACGGACAGAUUUCCUUGUUUAAAAUUAUGAAAUUUGAGAAAAGCAUCUUGCUUGUAAUUGUCUGGCAAAAACUUUUUUCGCAGCUCUUUCUUCAUCUUUUCCCAAGUGCAAAUCUUAGCCUUUCCAUCACGAACUCAUUGCUUCUUAAGAUGUUCCCACCAUAAGGAGGCAUAUUUCUUCAAUUUCACCGCCACUAAUUUAACCUUUUGUCGAUCAUGCACAUCAUUGUAUUCAAAAACUAUUUCCACCGUAUUAAGCCAAUCAAUAAAUUCAUCUGGAUGGUUUCUUCCUUCAAAAUCUGGAAUUGUGAUUUUCACAUUGUAAGCACCUUGAAAAUUGUUGAAUUCUCUACGAGGUCGUCUAGGAGCAGAUGUAUGACUUGAGUGAUCAUCUGAUUCUUCAUGAAAGGGAUUGUAGUCCUCAUCAUCAGGUGUUGAUGAGCCAUUUUCUGAGUUAUGACUGCCUGUGUUAUGUCCUCUGCCUGCUCCACGUGCAAGCUGUUGUUGUAGCUCCUCUACUUGUCUUCUCAACUCCUCUAAUUCAAUAUCACGUACAUUCCGUCGACGUGGAGGCAUGGCUCUGAUACCAAAUUGACACCGGAAGCAAUGGAAACAAGUAGAUCAGGGUUUAAUACUCGCCACUCUAAGGAAUCCACCCUAGAGAUAAGAGCAAACUCGCCACCCAAAGGAACCCAACCCCAGGGAUAAGAGUAUAAAGAUCAAUAUUCUUUUAACAAAAGAAAUAUUUAAUUUUUGUAUUUUCAAUUUCAGCUUAUAGGUACAUAGUUGUGAUAGUCUUUAUAUAGACUUGGCCAGAAACAUCCCUUCUGCCAUAGGUAGGUGCAAUGAACAUGAGAUUAAUGCUAAUCUUUUGAUAUUCUUUGACUUGGACUACUAAAAGAUAUAACUGAUAUCAUUCCUAGGGACUUGCUAAUACAUGAACUAGCCUAGUAAAUGAUAUGAAUACCAGAAAAUAAUCUCAAUGCAAAUACUUUAACUCAGAAUGUACCCUGCUGGACAGCUUGACCACCUCUGACUAAAAAUGAGAUAACUUCUUGUAGAAAAUGUAUUUCUUUGAUCCGUAAAAUUUGUUGAAAACUAGACUCCAAUACCUUUCCAAUGAUAUAUCACACUACACCCAGAACGUCCUAGAUAAAAUCAAUUUAUUCUUCGAAGUUGACUCAAAAUAUCCUCUGAAUUCUGAAUUUUCUGCGUCACUUUUAGAUAUAUUUCAUAAACAAAAUGAUAUCAUGUAUACACAUUUUAGAUUACUUCAUUGUGUGUGAUCCAACAUGUUAUUCUGUGUCUUUUUUGUAAGAUUGUAGUAAUUAUUUUAAAUUAUGUUUGUCACAUUUUGUUCCACAUUUGUUAUAAUUUAUUUGAUAUCACGACUUUCUUUACACGAGAUUUGCUAUGAUCAUAUGCGAUAUUGAUAGCCUGAUUAUUGUGCGAACAUUAUUACAGAUAAGUAUUUUUUUCCUUCCGCUUUCUAGAACACAAGGCAAUAAUAAGAGGCAGAGAUAUGUGUAAAAUGUAAACUUUUAUUGAAUCUUUCUUUGUGAUACAAUGUUGCUAAUAUAGUUCAUGUAUGUUAUCUUUCACAGAUAAUGGAAAGAUAAUGGAAGAGCUAGAGGUCUAUGUUCUUUUGUGAAUCACAUGAGCUUGCUUUUGGAUGAUAAGUCUAGAAUUAUUUCAAAUAAAAAUCACGCGCCAGUGAUAAAUGGAUAUAGGGUUGCGGGUUUGUGAAUUAUAUUAUUUUGUGGUUUGUAGAAUAUCCAUACUUAGUUGCAUUUAAUUGUUUGUAUUAUGAACAUGCACUAAAAUUUUGUUUAGCUUCUAAUUAAAAAUUCUUAUUCACACGGAAAGUUUUAGCCAUUUUUCUGACUUUUUUUUCCGGAGCUGGUUUUCAAUAUAUAUGCAAAUAUACCCUUGUUUUUUACACAAUUCCUGCAUUGCCAUUGCCUGUUUGUUUUCUUCUGAUCUCUAACAGUUUCGAUUUAGCUCAGUUGUUCUCUCCUUGUCUGCGAUUUAUGUUUAGUGCUGGGUUGCCUCUCCUCGCUUGGUUUUUUUCUCUUCGUUUGGUACACCUUCUUCACACUGGAUGGCUCCCCUAAAAAACGUAGCAGACCAAAGCUGUGCCUGACCUAAGAGGUGGCAGAGGAGCUCAGGGCGGUGAAGCAAUUGCAAAAUGCUACUUGUCAGGACACAGGACAAAAGUUAACAUCACUUCUGCGAUUGGUUUUGUCAUUGUAUAUUGGAAUUCAUUGGGAACAACGCUUGGUUACUGAAUUUCUACUUUGUCAUGCUUUUUCUCUUUGUGCUGAAGUUGUAGACAGAUUAAUGAUGGACUUGUACAUUGGUUGGAACGUCCUCAUCCACGGAAGUACAUGGUUUUAAACUUUGCCAAAAUUUCAUUCAUUUUUUUUAGUCUCUAUUCCCUGUCAAAUGCUAACCCUCCCGGUUUAUUUAGAUUGUGAGUAGGCAUAUACUCCUUUACUCAGCCUUUGAUGGAAUCAGCGGUGCAAUCUUUUGGUGGUGUUUUUAAUCCUUGUCUCCUUCUACUCCGGCGGCGAUUAUAGUUUAAACAUUCUUCAGAGGUCUCUAGCAUUGUUGUGUUGGUAAAAGGAAUUGGAUUGUAAGAACUGCAGUUGUGGCAAAGGAUUACAUUAAAACGGCAAAGAAGUUUGACAUUUCAAGGACUUAACUUAUUUAUCAGGAACCUGAGUAAUAGUUAGAAAUUUGCAUUGAGGUCUGCUUGGAAUUGCAGUGCAAAAAUAUAUGUUCCCUCUUUCAGCCGCACUAAGCGAAACAAAUUGGGCAAAGCUUGUGUACAUCUUAUUGGGACUCUUGUGGUUUGUUUUUGGUAUGUCAUGGUCCAAUCAGAGUACAUACAAUAUAAGGAUCGAAGCCAGUCGAUACAUACGAAUAAAGGAUCUGGUAAAAAAAUAACUUUAUAGGAAAAGAUAGGACAAAUGAUGCGAUAGAAAGAAUCGUGACUCUUGUGGAGGUCAUAAAGAAAUAAUUAUUCGGUAAGUUUCUUAGCAAAUAUUCUACAAUAUGCAUUUAAUCAUAAUUUGUGCAGUACAUAUGUUUUUAUGAUCUUUACAGUUAGUCUGUUGAGUGAUGGAUGGAGUGUUCCAAACAAACACGCAUCUCCUGAGGAACAGGUAAACAUGGUAAUGAAAUUCCAAUUGGUGCAUUAUCAACCCGUCUUGGUAUACUCAUGAUCUAUGAAAUUGAUGUUCACGGCCAUAACAAUGCUUAAGUUGCAACAAUAUUUCCACACAACACUGACUUAGGAGCAACUAGGCAAGUAAAUGGUACGUAGAUGUUACUUGGUCUGUGAAACGAUGAAUAUAUUAGAACUGAUAGCUUGCCUUAUAGUAUAAUCAAGACUCCUCAUAAAAAUUUAAGUGAAAAAAGGAUAUUGUUUGGGGCUUUGUUGGCAGUAGAAUUUUGUGUGUGUUAUAUGUUAACCCAAGAUUUAUUCUACCAACCACUUCUGGUCAUUAACCUCAAUUGUGUGUUCUUCAAAAGUCUAGACCUGCUAGAAUAAUGAAAUUUGAGAAGAUUGCAAAAUAAGUUUAUAUAAAGGUUUUUUAUUGUACAUCUAGAGAUGCAUAAUAUUCUUAUGCAGGGACCCUCAACUGGAGAAAAAGAUUGUUGCAGCUACUGCUCUUGAAGUGAGAGCUACAAGAAUACCUUAUGCCUUUGCACCUUGUAUUGUGGUACAUAAUUGUGGAAAAAUUUAAUUCCAGAAAUCAGAAUACUUCUUUCACUUGGUUUGGUCAGCACUUCUUAGAAAUAUAUUUAGUUAAGCCAUUUUCUACAAAAUGACCUGUGCCUCUCACACUCUUGUUUAUCCUGUUCAAGAUAAAGAAGAUAUAUGCAUUAAUGAUGAAGCUUUCAUGAUUAUGAGUCAUCCUUAGCAGAGAAAGAUGCAGAGUCCUCCACUUCUAUAAAUGCUUUUCGUCUCAUUAGCAUGGCCUCAAGCCUGGAUCUUUCAGGCUUCUUCGAGAAAGAGGACAUUUCUGAGAGGACCAUCAGAUUUACAUCUCAUCAUUCUCAAAAAAAAUUGAUUGAGGGGAUUGGAUUCAUUGUUACACAGAUGAGUUUUUUAUUCCGGAAGAGAAGUGGACAGAAACGCAAGACUUUUGACGAGAAUUUUUUGAGAAAGGACACAUCAAGUCUCUACAAGUUGGUUAAUGCCGCACACUACUUGCAGUUGAGACCAUUGUAUAAAAAAACUUGUUCUGCUAUUGCGCGAAAGAUUGAGGAUGAAUCUCUUGAGGAGAUAUGCCGUUUAUUUAAUUUUCCCAAUUUAUUCUUACUAGAAAAAAUUAGACCGACUAUAUACAUUUCAGCAAUCUUCCAACCACAUUUUCAUAACAGACUUGUAAAGUUUUUAAUAUCAUGGAAUUCUUGAGUUGAAA